GAUGAACGCUGGCGGCGUGCCUAAUACAUGCAAGUCGAGCGAACAGACGAGGAGCUUGCUCCUCUGACGUUAGCGGUGGACGGGUGAGUAACACGUGGAUAACCUACCUAUAAGACUGGGAUAACUUCGGGAAACCGGAGCUAAUACCGGAUAACAUGUUGAACCGCAUGGUUCAACAGUGAAAGACGGUCUUGCUGUCACUUAUAGAUGGAUCCGCGCCGCAUUAGCUAGUUGGUAAGGUAACGGCUUACCAAGGCAACGAUGCGUAGCCGACCUGAGAGAGUGAUCGGCCACACUGGAACUGAGACACGGUCCAGACUCCUACGGGAGGCAGCAGUAGGGAAUCUUCCGCAAUGGGCGAAAGCCUGACGGAGCAACGCCGCGUGAGUGAAGAAGGUCUUCGGAUCGUAAAACUCUGUUAUUAGGGAAGAACAAAUGUGUAAGUAACUAUGCACGUCUUGACGGUACCUAAUCAGAAAGCCACGGCUAACUACGUG
This 497-nucleotide ribosomal RNA is filed under the name uncultured bacterium. RNAcentral describes it as "partial 16S ribosomal RNA". It matches the Rfam family "Bacterial small subunit ribosomal RNA", at positions 28 to 507 of the family's 1533-position model. The record is from RNAcentral.